RNAcentral lists this ribosomal RNA (230 nucleotides) under uncultured bacterium. Its description in RNAcentral is "partial 16S ribosomal RNA". It matches the Rfam family "Bacterial small subunit ribosomal RNA", at positions 561 to 791 of the family's 1533-position model. The record is from RNAcentral.
UAAAGCGUGCGCAGGCGGUUAUAUAAGACAGAUGUGAAAUCCCCGGGCUCAACCUGGGAACUGCAUUUGUGACUGUAUAGCUGGAGUGCGGCAGAGGGGGAUGGAAUUCCGCGUGUAGCAGUGAAAUGCGUAGAUAUGCGGAGGAACACCGAUGGCGAAGGCAAUCCCCUGGGCCUGCACUGACGCUCAUGCACGAAAGCGUGGGGAGCAAACAGGAUUAGAACCCGAGU